This 685-nucleotide long non-coding RNA is filed under the name Homo sapiens (human). RNAcentral describes it as "long intergenic non-protein coding RNA 158". Lineage: Eukaryota; Metazoa; Chordata; Mammalia; Primates; Hominidae. The record is from RNAcentral.
GGCAUGGAGAGGCAGGAGUGGCUCCACUGUCACUAUGAGACAAGGAUGUCCUUUUUACCACUGAGCUUGUUCUAAGUUUCCUCUGGACCUCCUCUGUUGAUAAGCUAGUGGGGACUUGAGGAGUGAGGCUGGAAGUCCAGCCUCCCUGCCAACACCUCAGGGAUGAAGGAGAAAAACAAGGAGAGAAAAAUCUAAACCCAGCAGAAGAGAAAGUUUAAGAAAGCGGUCGUCGCCAAUACCAAAAUUAGCUAUGAUAUUCAGGAAGAAAAAAAUGGAAACACGAUAACCACAGUCAAUAAAGACCAAGGCCACAUUCCAUUGACCAGAGCUCAGCCACGCGCCACACCUGGCUAAAGAGACUCUGGCUGAAGAAUUCCCUGAAUAUUUUAAUGUAGCUCUAGGUUAUAACACAGAACAACCACAAGGUGGCAGAAGAACUCCAUUCUUGUAAAUCUCUUAGUUGCUUCUUUAUUUCAUCUUCCCUAUUCCAUCUAAUGUUCCCUGAAUUUUACUAUUUUGUUGGUUUGAAAAUAUGUGUGACUUACGUCCUUUAAAGGAUUUGGUUCGUAAGGUUUUGAAUAGACUGGAAUAUAAAACAUUUAUAGAAAAGAAAAAUACCUACAGUAUGAUGUUAGUGAACUAUUAAUAAUCCAAUUAAAUAAAAUAUAUUUGCUUUGGAUUAAUA